RNAcentral lists this transfer RNA (73 nucleotides) under Wenjunlia tyrosinilytica. RNAcentral describes it as "tRNA-Gln". It matches the Rfam family "tRNA". Rfam says of the family: Transfer RNA (tRNA) molecules are approximately 80 nucleotides in length. Their secondary structure includes four short double-helical elements and three loops (D, anti-codon, and T loops). The record is from RNAcentral. Lineage: Bacteria; Bacillati; Actinomycetota; Actinomycetes; Kitasatosporales; Streptomycetaceae.
UCCGCCGUGGUGUAAUAGGCAGCACCAGGGUUUUUGGUACCCUUUGUCCAGGUUCGAGUCCUGGCGGCGGAGC